GGAACAGACCUCCAACCUGUCUGGUUCUAACACCUGCCUAAGGCAAAUGUGGCCUCUGUGACUCCGUGGUCAGGAACACAUGUGGAUGCUGUUUAAAUGCCAGGGAUGGACCGGCUCUGUCUCCUGCAUUCACCGGCAUGUUGUUAGGCAGCCGGGCAGAUCAGAAACUGCUUUAAAAUUAAGCUUAUCUAUUGCUCUCUGUUAUUUUCACAUCCUUCAGCUGAUGAAUUUUCCUCAUUCUUGUGAAAGACUAAUUUCUAUCAAGCUGAUCCAUUGACCGAGUCGUUUAUGCGAAUUAGGACAGACUGAGCAAGGCAUGCCUUGGAGAGGAAUGAACGUGGGUGACCUGUCUACAGGGAAAAGCCUGCACGGUCAGAUUAAUUCCACUGCCCAGAUGUUGUUGGAUCAAGAGGACCCAUACCCGAAUGUCAGAGAUGUGUGCAUCACCCAGAGAUCCAGGACAUGAAAUGUGAGGCUGGGUUGUCUCUCUUGGGAUGUGGGAGCCAGGAGCCAUAUGCGGAUUCGGAGCCAUUCAAGUGUGGCUGGUCCAAAUUGAAGUGUUCCUGGGAUUUCGAAAACGUAUACGCAAAAUAGAAUGUAAAAUAUCUGUGUCAGUGAUACCUUUUUACAACAAAAAUUGUUGAAAUGAUAAUAUU
This is a long non-coding RNA of Suricata suricatta (meerkat), 656 nucleotides long. RefSeq lists it as uncharacterized. NCBI's taxonomy places the organism in Eukaryota, Metazoa, Chordata, Mammalia, Carnivora, Herpestidae. The transcript is spliced from 4 exons. The record is from RefSeq and is a predicted model, not a curated record.